This 731-nucleotide ribosomal RNA is filed under the name uncultured bacterium. Its description in RNAcentral is "bacterial SSU rRNA". It matches the Rfam family "Bacterial small subunit ribosomal RNA", at positions 771 to 1501 of the family's 1533-position model. The record is from RNAcentral.
AACAGGAUUAGAUACCCUGGUAGUCCACGCUGUAAACGAUGCCGACUUGGAGGUUGUGCCCUUGAGGCGUGGCUUCCGGAGCUAACGCGUUAAGUCGACCGCCUGGGGAGUACGGCCGCAAGGUUAAAACUCAAAUGAAUUGACGGGGGCCCGCACAAGCGGUGGAGCAUGUGGUUUAAUUCGAUGCAACGCGAAGAACCUUACCUACUCUUGACAUCCAGAGAAUUUGCUAGGGAUAGCUUAGUGCCUUCGGGAACUCUGAGACAGGUGCUGCAUGGCCGUCGUCAGCUCGUGUUGUGAAAUGUUGGGUUAAGUCCCGCAACGAGCGCAACCCUUAUCCUUUGUUGCCAGCACGUAAUGGUGGGAACUCAAAGGAGACUGCCGGUGAUAAACCGGAGGAAGGUGGGGAUGACGUCAAGUCAUCAUGGCCCUUACGAGUAGGGCUACACACGUGCUACAAUGGCAUAUACAAAGAGAAGCGAACUCGCGAGAGCAAGCGGACCUCAUAAAGUAUGUCGUAGUCCGGAUUGGAGUCUGCAACUCGACUCCAUGAAGUCGGAAUCGCUAGUAAUCGUAGAUCAGAAUGCUACGGUGAAUACGUUCCCGGGCCUUGUACACACCGCCCGUCACACCAUGGGAGUGGGUUGCAAAAGAAGUAGGUAGCUUAACCUUCGGGAGGGCGCUUACCACUUUGUGAUUCAUGACUGGGGUGAAGUCGUAACAAGGUAACC